This 395-nucleotide ribosomal RNA is filed under the name uncultured bacterium. RNAcentral's name for it is "bacterial SSU rRNA". It matches the Rfam family "Bacterial small subunit ribosomal RNA", at positions 30 to 429 of the family's 1533-position model. The record is from RNAcentral.
AUUGAACGCUGGCGGCAUGCUUUACACAUGCAAGUCGAACGGCAGCGCGGGGGCAACCUGGCGGCGAGUGGCGAACGGGUGAGUAAUAUAUCGGAACGUACCCAGAAGUGGGGGAUAACGUAGCGAAAGUUACGCUAAUACCGCAUACGAUCUACGGAUGAAAGUGGGGGACCUUCGGGCCUCAUGCUUUUGGUAGCGGCCGAUAUCUGAUUAGCUAGUUGGUAGGGUAAAGGCCACCAAGGCGACGAUCAGUAGCUGGUCUGAGAGGACGACCAGCCACACUGGGACUGAGACACGGCCCAGACUCCUACGGGAGGCAGCAGUGGGGGAAUUUUGGACAAUGGGCGCAAGCCUGAUCCAGCAAUGCCGCGUGAGUGAAGAAGGCCUGGUGUAAG